UACAGGGGGGGCAAGCGUUGUUCGGAAUUACUGGGCGUAAAGGGCUCGUAGGUGGCCGACUAAGUCAGACGUGAAAUCCCUCAGCUUAACCGGGGAACUGCGUCCGAUACUGGAUGGCUGGAGGAUGGGAGAGGGAUGCGGAAUUCCAGGUGUAGCGGUGAAAUGCGUAGAUAUCUGGAGGAACACCGGUGGCGAAGGCGGCAUCCUGGACCAUUACUGACGCUGAGUGAGCGAAAGCCAGGGGAGCAAACGGG
RNAcentral lists this ribosomal RNA (254 nucleotides) under uncultured bacterium. RNAcentral's name for it is "partial 16S ribosomal RNA". It matches the Rfam family "Bacterial small subunit ribosomal RNA", at positions 524 to 776 of the family's 1533-position model. The record is from RNAcentral.